Molecule: ribosomal RNA, 403 nt
Filed under: uncultured prokaryote
Description: bacterial SSU rRNA
Rfam family: Bacterial small subunit ribosomal RNA
Source: RNAcentral
UAGGGAAUAUUGCUUAAUGGGCGAAAGCCUGAAGCAGCAACGCCGCGUGCACGAUGAAGGUCUUCGGAUCGUAAAGUGCUUUUUUAGAGGAUGAGGAAGGACAGUACUCUAAGAAUAAGCCUCGGCUAACUACGUGCCAGCAGCCGCGGUAAAACGUAGGAGGCAAGCGUUAUCCGGAUUUACUGGGCGUAAAGCGUGUGCAGGUGGUUUGGUAAGUUGGAUGUGAAAGCUCCUGGCUUAACUGGGAGAGGUCGUUCAAUACUGCCAGACUUGAGAGUGAGAGAGGGAGGUGGAAUUCCGGGUGUAGUGGUGAAAUGCGUAGAUAUCCGGAGGAACACCAGUGGCGAAAGCGGCCUCCUGGCUCAUUUCUGACACUCAUACACGAAAGCUAGGGUAGCAAACG